Molecule: non-coding RNA, 30 nt
Filed under: Mus musculus (house mouse)
Lineage: Eukaryota; Metazoa; Chordata; Mammalia; Rodentia; Muridae
Source: RNAcentral
UUCAGAUCGCCAAUGAACUUUCUGUUGGUC